UGCCUGGCAGUCUAGUGGUUAGGACUCAACACUUCCACUGCUGAAAGCCCGGGUUCAAUCCCUGGCUGGGGAA
RNAcentral lists this transfer RNA (73 nucleotides) under Ovis aries (sheep). It matches the Rfam family "tRNA". From Rfam's summary of the family: Transfer RNA (tRNA) molecules are approximately 80 nucleotides in length. Their secondary structure includes four short double-helical elements and three loops (D, anti-codon, and T loops). Lineage: Eukaryota; Metazoa; Chordata; Mammalia; Artiodactyla; Bovidae. The record is from Rfam by way of RNAcentral.